AGUGUCUCGAUUAUUCUGUAUAAUCCUUUCCAAUUUGGAGAUAAUUUUUUCUGAUCCAGAUGCUUUGAAACUUCCAUCUUUCUUAGGAUUAGGUCUCCUGAACGGAAGACCUUCGGCUUAACCUUUGCAUUAUAAUAUUGGACUACUUUUGCCGAUAUGCUGCCAUCCGAACUUGAGCUUGCUGUCAGACUUUCGAAAAUAAAUCUAGAUCAGCUCUCCAACAUUCUGAAUUGCUCGACUCAUUAUACUAUUCAACUCUUAUUGAUGGAAAUCUGAUCUCAAGUGGAAUCAUCAUCUCUAUUCCAUAGGUCAGG
RNAcentral lists this long non-coding RNA (314 nucleotides) under Elaeis guineensis (African oil palm). RNAcentral describes it as "long non-coding RNA (EGUI_LNC013408)". Lineage: Eukaryota; Viridiplantae; Streptophyta; Magnoliopsida; Arecales; Arecaceae. The record is from RNAcentral.